This 377-nucleotide long non-coding RNA is filed under the name Homo sapiens (human). RNAcentral describes it as "non-protein coding lnc-HCRTR1-3:1". Lineage: Eukaryota; Metazoa; Chordata; Mammalia; Primates; Hominidae. The record is from RNAcentral.
GAGCCAGGUGCCUGGCAGGGCCCCAAGAACUACUUUCAGCAAAUCUUCAGGCAACGCCGAAGGUGGUGAGAAGCAGGAGGCAGAGCGAGAAGGCAGGAAUGGAGGGGCCCCCUAGAGGCACCAGCUUAAGAGGAAGGUUCACGAGCUCAGGAGGACUUGGGGGAGUGCUGCAAGAUGGUGCGAGAAAUGGAGAAGGAAGACAGAACGGGGAAGAAUGGCUCCUCCGUUGACGGAGAUGCGGAAUGGCUCCAGAGUCAGAGGGCUUCCUGAGUCUUCCGGAGUCUAACUGAAGAUCCGGUUGCAGCAGAAGCCCAUUUCUUUCAGCCUUGCCCACCAUGCCUGCCACCCGACCUCCACCUGUCCCCCGAGUGGGGGGC